This 293-nucleotide ribosomal RNA is filed under the name uncultured bacterium. RNAcentral describes it as "partial 16S ribosomal RNA". It matches the Rfam family "Bacterial small subunit ribosomal RNA", at positions 505 to 796 of the family's 1533-position model. The record is from RNAcentral.
GUGCCAGCCGCCGCGGUAAUACGGAGGGGGCAAGCGUUGUUCGGAUUUACUGGGCGUAAAGGGUGUGUAGGCGGCUGCGCAAGUCUGGUGUGAAAUCUUCACCGCUUAACGGGAAGAGGGCACUGGAAACUGCGUAGCUCGAGUAUGGUAGAGGCAAGCGGAAUUCCUGGUGUAGCGGUGGAAUGUGUAGAUGUCAGGAAGAACACCGGUGGCGAAGGCGGCUUGCUGGGCCAUUACUGACGCUGAGACACGAAAGCGUGGGGAGCAAACGGGAUUAGAAACCCGAGUAGUCC